RNAcentral lists this ribosomal RNA (301 nucleotides) under uncultured bacterium. Its description in RNAcentral is "partial 16S ribosomal RNA". It matches the Rfam family "Bacterial small subunit ribosomal RNA", at positions 509 to 807 of the family's 1533-position model. The record is from RNAcentral.
CAGUAGCCACGGGAAUACGGAGGGUGCAAGCGUUAAUCGGAAUUACUGGGCGUAAAGCGCACGCAGGCGGUCUGACAAGUCAGAUGUGAAAUCCCUGAGCUUAACUUAGGAAUUGCAUUCGAUACUGGGAAGCUAGAGUAUGGGAGAGGAUGGUAGAAUUCCAGGUGUAGCGGUGAAAUGCGUAGAGAUCUGGAGGAAUACCGAUGGCGAAGGCAGCCAUCUGGCCUAAUACUGACGCUGAGGUACGAAAGCAUGGGGAGCAAACAGGAUUAGAUACCCGUGUAGUCCCUGUCUCUUAUAC